This 1448-nucleotide ribosomal RNA is filed under the name metagenome. RNAcentral's name for it is "bacterial SSU rRNA". It matches the Rfam family "Bacterial small subunit ribosomal RNA". The record is from RNAcentral.
UUUUGGGUAACAGGUGUAGCAAUACAUGCUGACGACCGGCGCACGGGUGCGUAACACGUAUAUAAUCUACCUUUUACUGGAGAAUAGCCCGAAGAAAUUCGGAUUAAUACUCCAUAAUAAUAUUGAGGGGCAUCUCUUGAUAUUUAAAGUUCAGACGGUAAAAGAUGAGUAUGCGCGAUAUUAGCUAGUUGGUGAGGUAACGGCUCACCAAGGCGACGAUAUCUAGGGGUACUGAGAGGUUACACCCCCACACUGGUACUGAGACACGGACCAGACUCCUACGGGAGGCAGCAGUAAGGAAUAUUGGACAAUGGUCGCAAGACUGAUCCAGCCAUGCCGCGUGCAGGAUGACUGCCCUAUGGGUUGUAAACUGCUUUUAUACGGGAAUAAACCCGGGUACGUGUACCCGGCUGAAUGUACUGUAAGAAUAAGGGUCGGCUAACUUCGUGCCAGCAGCCGCGGUAAGACGAAGGACCCAAGCGUUAUCCGGAUUCAUUGGGUUUAAAGGGUGCGUAGGCGGGUUGAUAAGUCAGUGGUGAAAGCCCAACGCUUAACGUUGGAACUGCCAUUGAUACUGUCGAUCUUGAAUGUGUUUGAUGUGGGCGGGAUAUGACAUGUAGCGGUGAAAUGCUUAGAUAUGUCAUAGAACGCCGAUUGCGAAGGCAGCUCACAAAGCCACUAUUGACGCUGAGGCACGAAAGCGUGGGGAUCAAACAGGAUUAGAUACCCUGGUAGUCCACGCCGUAAACUUUGAUCACUCGCUGUUGGCGAUACACUGUCAGCGGCUAAGCGAAAGCGUUAAGUGAUCCACCUGGGGAGUACGGUCGCAAGACUGAAACUCAAAGGAAUUGACGGGGGCCCGCACAAGCGGUGGAGCAUGUGGUUUAAUUCGAUGAUACGCGAGGAACCUUACCAGGGCUUGAAAGUUAGCGACUUACCGUGAAAGCGGUGAUCCCUUCGGGGCGCGAAACUAGGUGCUGCAUGGCUGUCGUCAGCUCGUGCCGUGAGGUGUUGGGUUAAGUCCCGCAACGAGCGCAACCCCUACUUCUAGUUGCCAACAGGUAAUGCUGGGGACUCUAGAGGAACUGCCCGCGCAAGCGGUGAGGAAGGUGGGGACGACGUCAAGUCAUCACGGCCCUUACGUCCUGGGCUACACACGUGCUACAAUGGCGGAGACAACGGGCAGCUACACUGCGAAGUGAUGCUAAUCUCUAAACUCCGUCUCAGUUCGGAUUGAAGUCUGCAACUCGACUUCAUGAAGCUGGAAUCGCUAGUAAUCGCGUAUCAGCAAUGACGCGGUGAAUACGUUCCCGGGCCUUGUACACACCGCCCGUCAAACAAUGGAAGCUGGGAGUACCUAAAGUCAGUAGUCGCAAGACGCUGCCUAGGGUAAAACCGGUAACUGGUGUUAAGUCGGAACAAGGUAGCCGUACCGGAAGGUGCGGCUG